Raphanus sativus (radish) is the source of this 938-nucleotide long non-coding RNA. RefSeq lists it as uncharacterized. Lineage: Eukaryota; Viridiplantae; Streptophyta; Magnoliopsida; Brassicales; Brassicaceae. The transcript is spliced from 2 exons. The record is from RefSeq and is a predicted model, not a curated record.
UUCAAUUGCAUAGAUAAUGAAUAGUCGUAUAUUUGCAGUGAACUUUUUAGUCGACUUAUGUGAUCAAGUUCUUGAGAUGAGAUAGUGAUUAUGUUAUAGACUUUGCCUGAUUAAUCUUCAUCUCCUUUGAUCUUUCUUGGGUAGUUCUUAUGAUCUUAUCAAACCUCUGGGUUUACAAUGUUCUCAUCCUCGCUCGAUUUACCCGUCCCUGUCUCAUUUGUCUGUUGGUUAAAUUUGCUUCACAUUUUAAUUGCAUUACGGAUUACAGGUUGCUGACUACUAUGGAGAUAAACUCCAUUUUGCUUAGGCUAAAGAGAUCGCAUGAAAGACGAGUUAUGCAAAAGGAGCACAUGAGAGGUUAGGCAGGUCCAGUGGUAGAUAAUCUUCUCUAGCUAUUUUUUCAAAGUCGGUGGUGAGAUUGGAGGAGAAUGGUUACCUUAAUCAUUAUAAAGGUGAUGUUUGUGAGUUAUUUGUGCUUCUUGCAAUGGCUGCCCUCAAACCAGUGAACUCCAAGUAAAUUCUCUGAUUUGACUUAAUGUGCUUCUUGCAAUGGCUGCCCUCAAACACAAGAGGAAGCUAAGUAACAACGACACCAAUCUCAUUUUCUGACUAAAGAUGCAGGUGGGGUGUUCAGUCCUCUAAUUCAGGUUGUUCUGCUAAGAACAACAUUUGCGCUUACACGUUUCAGUAUGUGGAUGGAAGUGGCACCUCAGGGUUCUUCUUCUCUGAUUUCUUGCAGUUUGACAUACGUUUGAUUACUAUGACUCUUGGCCAGACAUAUUGUCUCAUUCUUGAUUAAGUGCUCUGCUUUUCACUGUUAUCUUCUUGCAUCGCUAAGACAAUGAUGAGCCCAAGGCUCAAGCUUUUUACCAAUGUCACCUUCCCACUUGGCUCAAAGAAUUUUUUUUUAAUAUACAUGUGGUCUAUGGAUUUAGAUU